ACUCCUACGGGAGGCAGCAGUAGGGAAUCUUCCACAAUGGGUGCAAACCUGAUGGAGCAAUGCCGCGUGAGUGAAGAAGGUCUUCGGAUCGUAAAGCUCUGUUGUUAGAGAAGAACACGUGCUAGGUAACUACUAGCGCCUUGACGGUAUCUAACCAGAAAGUCACGGCUAACUACGUGCCAGCAGCCGCGGUAAUACGUAGGUGACAAGCGUUGUCCGGAUUUAUUGGGCGUAAAGGGAGCGCAGGCGGUCUGUUUAGUCUAAUGUGAAAGCCCACGGCUUAACCGUGGAACGGCAUUGGAAACUGACAGACUUGAAUGUAGAAGAGGAAAAUGGAAUUCCAAGUGUAGCGGUGGAAUGCGUAGAUAUUUGGAGGAACACCAGUGGCGAAGGCGAUUUUCUGGUCUAACAUUGACGCUGAGGCUCGAAAGCGUGGGGAGCGAACAGGAUUAGAAACCCUUGUAGUCCCAUGA
Molecule: ribosomal RNA, 473 nt
Filed under: uncultured organism
Description: partial 16S ribosomal RNA
Rfam family: Bacterial small subunit ribosomal RNA
Source: RNAcentral